UCCGAUGUGGUGUAUCGGUAACAUCAUUGUCUCUCACACAAUAGCGCCGGGUUCGACUCCCGGCAUCGGAA
Non-coding RNA from Myotisia sp. PD_48, 71 nucleotides. The record is from the annotation of a GenBank genome assembly. Lineage: Eukaryota; Fungi; Ascomycota; Eurotiomycetes; Onygenales.